This 57-nucleotide transfer RNA is filed under the name Ovis aries (sheep). It matches the Rfam family "tRNA", at positions 8 to 63 of the family's 71-position model. From Rfam's summary of the family: Transfer RNA (tRNA) molecules are approximately 80 nucleotides in length. Their secondary structure includes four short double-helical elements and three loops (D, anti-codon, and T loops). Further hydrogen bonds mediate the characteristic L-shaped molecular structure. tRNAs have two regions of fundamental functional importance: the anti-codon, which is responsible for specific mRNA codon recognition, and the 3' end, to which the tRNAs corresponding amino acid is attached (by aminoacyl-tRNA synthetases). tRNAs cope with the degeneracy of the genetic code in two manners: having more than one tRNA (with a specific anti-codon) for a particular amino acid; and 'wobble' base-pairing, i.e. permitting non-standard base-pairing at the 3rd anti-codon position. The record is from Rfam by way of RNAcentral. Lineage: Eukaryota; Metazoa; Chordata; Mammalia; Artiodactyla; Bovidae.
UGGCUCAGAGGGUAAAGCGCCUGCCUGCAAUGCGGGAGACCCAGGUUCGAUCCCUGG